This 310-nucleotide unclassified non-coding RNA is filed under the name plant metagenome. RNAcentral describes it as "partial contains 5.8S ribosomal RNA, internal transcribed spacer 2, and large subunit ribosomal RNA". The stretch from base 1 to 105 matches the Rfam family "5.8S ribosomal RNA", at positions 50 to 154 of the family's 154-position model. The record is from RNAcentral.
GAAAUGCGAUAAGUAGUGUGAAUUGCAGAAUUCGGUGAAUCAUCGAAUCUUUGAACGCACAUUGCGCCCCUCGGUAUUCCGUGGGGCAUGCCUGUUCGAGCGUCAUCUACACCCUCAAGCUCUGCUUGGUGUUGGGCGUCUGUCCCGCCUCCUUCGCGCGCGGACUCGCCCCAAAUCCAUUGGCGGCGGCCCUUGCCUCCCUCUCGCGCAGCACAUUGCGCUUCUCGAGGCGCGGCGGACCGCGUCCAGCAAGCAACCGUCACACCGUCUUUGACCUCGGAUCAGGUAGGGAUACCCGCUGAACUUAAGC